AUACAUACGCCACCUAUGAAGCAUGUUCAGCGAUCGGUCUUUCUGGCCAUUUUGUUGAGGCAUUCAGCAAUAUGAGAGCAAAGUGGAGGAAGAAGCGCAUGCGAAGGUUGAAGCGUAAGAGGAGAAAGAUGCGUGCAAGGUCCAAGUAGACUGCUUCCUUGCAGAGCAG
Molecule: long non-coding RNA, 169 nt
Organism: Priapulus caudatus
Lineage: Eukaryota; Metazoa; Priapulida; Priapulimorpha; Priapulimorphida; Priapulidae
Exons: 2
Source: RefSeq, a predicted model, not a curated record